AACGAACGCUGGCGGCGUGCUUAACACAUGCAAGUCGAACGGAAAGGCCCUGGUUUCGUAGGGUGCUAGAGUGGAGAAAGGGUGAGUAACCCGUGAGUGAGCUGCCGUUGACCUUGGGAAAACUCCAGGAAAACGGGACGAAUCCCGGAUAGGAGAGCCUGCUGCAUGGUGGGGGUUGGCAAGUCGCGGCGGUUGGGGAUGGAUUGGCGGCUUAUCAGCUUGUUGGUGGGGUAGUGGCUUACCAAGGCUUUGACGGGUAGCCGGACUGAGAGGGUGACCGGCCACAUUGGGACGGAGAUGCGGCCCAGACUCCUACGGUAGGCAGCAGUGCGGAAGAUUGCAUAAGGGGCGGAACCCAAAUGCAGCAACGCCGCGCGGCGGAUGACGACCUGCUGUUUGUAUUCCGCUUUCCCCUGUGACGAAGCGUGAGUGACGGUAAUGGGUAAAGAAGCCCCGGCUAACUACGUG
Molecule: ribosomal RNA, 468 nt
Filed under: uncultured bacterium
Lineage: Bacteria
Description: partial 16S ribosomal RNA
Rfam family: Bacterial small subunit ribosomal RNA
Source: RNAcentral